UUCUUCUGCAUUUCCUUCCCCUUUUCCCUAAUCCACUCUCCAUCCAACUAAUUAAACACAUAUCUUCUCAUCCCAAAAGUAGCUUCAGUUAGGUUUAAUGAAUAUUAGUUCACUAAAAUACCCACCCAUUCCAAAAGUAGCAGAACCGGGGACUGGGUAGCGAAAAACUGAAGGCGAAGGAGAGAGGGCCGGCGAAGACGAAUGAGAAGAGAAAUAUCGAAGAUGGACGAUCUAAAAUUUGGGUUCUACAAAUUGAUGUUGUUUGAGAAUGAAAAUCGGUAUUGUUAGAUGAAAGAGGGUGUUUAUCUAGUGGAGAUUUGGUGGUUUUUCGCAACUAUUGUUGCUGCUAUUUUGCUGUUUUUUUCGGCUAGCUCAGGAUUUGUUUUGGCGUGACGGAUAUAGGCGAAGCUCUGGAGGUUAUGGGCAGUAAGUUUUUUGAUGAAAGACGAUAUUUCUUUUAGUGAUUUAAGGUGGCUUAGUUGGAGCUUUAGUGACUGAUUUUCAUGGAAGCUAUGGUGGUUUGCACUUGAAAGAAGAAGAGAGGCUAAGCUGAGUAUUUCAUGUUUUUUCUUUUUAAAAAAAAACUUAGGCUGCAAAAAAAUGUAUCACGCGCUCAAAAUUUGGUUAGCAAUCACGCAUAUGCCACAUCAGCGACAUGUGUUUACUUGAUCUGAGUUAUAGUCACUUGAAGUGUCUAAAUGAUAAAGGGGUUCGUUAAGGGUUCAGCUGGUUGUUGAGGACAACUUCAAGGGGUCGUUUAUGUAUUUCGUCUAAUGAAUAGUGAAUCUAAUAGAAUGAAAUCCCCUAUUAUUUGCA
Molecule: long non-coding RNA, 816 nt
Organism: Nicotiana tabacum (common tobacco)
Lineage: Eukaryota; Viridiplantae; Streptophyta; Magnoliopsida; Solanales; Solanaceae
Source: RefSeq, a predicted model, not a curated record